GAUGAACGCUAGCUACAGGCUUAACACAUGCAAGUCGAGGGGAAACGACAUCGAAAGCUUGCUUUUGAUGGGCGUCGACCGGCGCACGGGUGAGUAACGCGUAUCCAACCUGCCCAUCACUUGGGAAUAACCUUGCGAAAGUAAGACUAAUACCCAAUGAUAUCCCACGAAGGCAUCGGAAUGGGAUUAAAGAUUUAUCGGUGAUGGAUGGGGAUGCGUCUGAUUAGCUUGUUGGCAGGGUAACGGCCCACCAAGGCAACGAUCAGUAGGGGUUCUGAGAGGAAGGUCCCCCACAUUGGAACUGAGACACGGUCCAAACUCCUACGGGAGGCAGCAGUGAGGAAUAUUGGUCAAUGGGCGAGAGCCUGAACCAGCCAAGUAGCGUGCAGGAAGACGGCCCUAUGGGUUGUAAACUGCUUUUAUAAGGGAAUAAAGUGGGUCACGUGUGACUUUUUGCAUGUACCUUAUGAAUAAGGACCGGCUAAUUCCGUG
RNAcentral lists this ribosomal RNA (492 nucleotides) under uncultured bacterium. RNAcentral's name for it is "partial 16S ribosomal RNA". It matches the Rfam family "Bacterial small subunit ribosomal RNA", at positions 28 to 507 of the family's 1533-position model. The record is from RNAcentral.